Molecule: ribosomal RNA, 253 nt
Filed under: uncultured bacterium
Lineage: Bacteria
Description: partial 16S ribosomal RNA
Rfam family: Bacterial small subunit ribosomal RNA
Source: RNAcentral
GACAGAGGGUGCGAGCGUUGUUCGGAAUUACUGGGCGUAAAGCGCGCGCAGGCGGAUCCUUAAGUCGGAAGUGAAAUUCCACCGCUCAACGGUGGCGCUGCUUCCGAUACUGCGGAUCUGGGGACCGGUAGAGGCUGGUAGAAUUGCAGGUGUAGCGGUGGAAUGCGUAGAGAUCUGCAAGAAUACCCGUGGCGAAGGCGGCCAGCUGGGCCGGGUCCGACGCUGAGGCGCGAAAGCGUGGGGAGCAAACAGG